Molecule: long non-coding RNA, 577 nt
Filed under: Populus trichocarpa (black cottonwood)
Lineage: Eukaryota; Viridiplantae; Streptophyta; Magnoliopsida; Malpighiales; Salicaceae
Description: long non-coding RNA (PTRI_LNC003421)
Source: RNAcentral
UUGAAGCUCAGGAAUUCCUAGCUGAACGUAACCCUUUCUCCACCCAGCUUUUACGUUUAUCUCUGCUGGUUUAAAUUUGCAUGCUUGUGAAUAAUCACCUCUUCAUUGUCCACUUGGAAACUAAUACUACUAUUUAUGAUUCUUGACGUUCGUGAUCAUUAUGGCUAGAGAGGAGCCAUGGAGGGCGGUCUACAAGGGACGUACGAGCUAGAAACUGAAGGGUACAACAAGGAGGAGGCAGGCCGUGAAUUCAUACACCCCGCCAAGGAAGAACCUGUAGAAGAAGACCCUGGCCCAGAUGUAGGAAUUGAUGCUGACAAAUGCAGAGGAUGAUCCAUACCUUGACCAGGAACUGCCUGUUAUGGCUGUCAGGUCUCCUAAUAGAUAUGUUAGUAGCAUGAAGCACCAGUUCUAGAUAUGUUAGUAGCAUGAAGCACCAGUUCUGCUCUGCUGCAUGUAAAAAUAAACAGCCUGUUUGCUAGCAUCAUCCCGUUGAAACUUGUUGCCGUCUGUGUCAUCUCUUGUAACAUGGCAGUGUUUCAUUCUGUGUCAUCUCUUGUAACAUGGCAGUGUUUCA